Molecule: ribosomal RNA, 369 nt
Filed under: Triticum aestivum (bread wheat)
Lineage: Eukaryota; Viridiplantae; Streptophyta; Magnoliopsida; Poales; Poaceae
Description: partial small subunit ribosomal RNA
Source: RNAcentral
AUGAAGACGAUAGCAGUGAUGACCCAGAAAUCAGCCGUCUGUAGAGAAGUGGAGAAACCGCCGAGCAGGACGACGGUCGCCCAGACUAAGGCGAGGGCGCCGAGCCCCGUGGCAAGGAUCUGCAGGAACAUCUCGGAUACCAUGCAGAUGUUAAGCGGCAGCUCCGGCACCUGGUGCAAGGGCGUGUCUCCGCUCGUUGGCCGUUCAAGGUCGAGCCCUCGAGCACCUUGCAGCUGGAGUGCAUCCUUCAAGACCACCACGACUCCAUGCACCAGUUGCACCACCACCCUCGAAGUCAUCUCCAUCCUGCUUGCGGUCUGUUCAACCAAGCAGCUUGGUUCUCCUCUAUCAAGUGUUCCAGUCUUCUAG